Molecule: ribosomal RNA, 249 nt
Filed under: uncultured bacterium
Lineage: Bacteria
Description: partial 16S ribosomal RNA
Rfam family: Bacterial small subunit ribosomal RNA
Source: RNAcentral
UACGUAGGGUGCAAGCGUUAAUCGGAAUUACUGGGCGUAAAGCGUGCGCAGGCGGUUAUAUAAGACAGUUGUGAAAUCCCCGGGCUCAACCUGGGAACUGCAUCUGUGACUGUAUAGCUAGAGUACGGUAGAGGGGAUGGAAUUCCGCGUGUAGCAGUGAAAUGCGUAGAUAUGCGGAGGAACACCGAUGGCGAAGGCAUCCCUGGACCUGUACUGACGCUCAUGCACGAAAGCGUGGGAGCAAACAGG